This 72-nucleotide transfer RNA is filed under the name Camelus bactrianus (Bactrian camel). It matches the Rfam family "tRNA". From Rfam's summary of the family: Transfer RNA (tRNA) molecules are approximately 80 nucleotides in length. The record is from Rfam by way of RNAcentral. RNAcentral also lists the same sequence under 2 other names. Lineage: Eukaryota; Metazoa; Chordata; Mammalia; Artiodactyla; Camelidae.
GAGUGUAUAGCUCAGUGGUAGAGUACAUGCCUAGCAUGCACAAGGCCCUGGGUUCAAUCCCUAGUACUUCCA